RNAcentral lists this non-coding RNA (21 nucleotides) under Caenorhabditis elegans. The record is from RNAcentral. Lineage: Eukaryota; Metazoa; Nematoda; Chromadorea; Rhabditida; Rhabditidae.
UAAAACGAGAACUGGCAUGAU